Molecule: ribosomal RNA, 546 nt
Filed under: uncultured bacterium
Lineage: Bacteria
Description: bacterial SSU rRNA
Rfam family: Bacterial small subunit ribosomal RNA
Source: RNAcentral
GGGGAAUAUUGCGCAAUGGGGGCAACCCUGACGCAGCCAUGCCGCGUGAAUGAAGAAGGCCUUCGGGUUGUAAAGUUCUUUCGGUGACGAGGAAGGUUGUUGUGUUAAUAGCGCAACAAAUUGACGUUAAUCACAGAAGAAGCACCGGCUAACUCCGUGCCAGCAGCCGCGGUAAUACGGAGGGUGCGAGCGUUAAUCGGAAUAACUGGGCGUAAAGGGCACGCAGGCGGCUAUUUAAGUGAGGUGUGAAAUCCCCGGGCUUAACCUGGGAAUUGCAUUUCAGACUGGGUAGCUAGAGUACUUUAGGGAGGGGUAGAAUUCCACGUGUAGCGGUGAAAUGCGUAGAGAUGUGGAGGAAUACCGAAGGCGAAGGCAGCCCCUUGGGAAUGUACUGACGCUCAUGUGCGAAAGCGUGGGGAGCAAACAGGAUUAGAUACCCUGGUAGUCCACGCUGUAAACGCUGUCGAUUUGGGGAUUGGGCUUUAAGCUUGGUGCCCGUAGCUAACGUGAUAAAUCGACCGCCUGGGGAGUACGGCCGCAAGGUUA